This 574-nucleotide unclassified non-coding RNA is filed under the name Hevea brasiliensis (rubber tree). Lineage: Eukaryota; Viridiplantae; Streptophyta; Magnoliopsida; Malpighiales; Euphorbiaceae. The record is from RNAcentral.
GGUGAUCUGAUGACACCUGCUCCUUUAGUAGUUCGUGAAUCUACCAAUCUUGAAGAUGCAGCAAGACUUCUACUCAAAACAAAAUAUCGUCGGCUUCCUGUGGUAGAUGGUAAGGGUAAGCUGGUGGGAAUAAUAACAAGAGGAAACGUUGUAAGGGCCGCCCUUCAAAUAAAGCGGGCUACAGAAAUGGAAGAUUGACAUGUACCAACAUAAGUUAACCGUUAAAAACAAGUAACACAGUUUGUCCCUUCUUCCACAGGAUCUGGUGGUCAAGGCAGUCAGCUUAAUUUUAUAAACUGCAGUUCUCAGACAUACUGUGUCAGACUAGGAUAUAUUCAUGUAAAUUAGCAAUCUUGUAGGAGAAUAGUGAAACUUGGCCGUUUAAGACAUUGCAGAGUUCAUUCUAAUAGAUAAUACUGUUCAAAAGCAAAGUUUUCGAGUCAACUUUUCAGAGGUUUGAAACAUAGAAGAAAAAACAGAUACUUAGUGCAAGUGGGAAACAUUUUAUGUGCCCCUUUAAAAACAUUAAAUAGUAGGCACCUAUCUUGACUGAAACUUUGCUCUUUGAUUGAAG